AGUGAACGCUGGCGGUAGGCCUAACACAUGCAAGUCGAACGGCAGCACAGUAAGAGCUUGCUCUUACGGGUGGCGAGUGGCGGACGGGUGAGGAAUACAUCGGAAUCUACUUUUUCGUGGGGGAUAACGUAGGGAAACUUACGCUAAUACCGCAUACGACCUACGGGUGAAAGCAGGGGAUCUUCGGACCUUUCGCGAUUGAAUGAGCCGAUGUCGGAUUAGCUAGUUGGCGGGGUAAAGGCCCACCAAGGCGACGAUCCGUAGCUGGUCUGAGAGGAUGAUCAGCCACACUGGAACUGAGACACGGUCCAGACUCCUACGGGAGGCAGCAGUGGGCAAUAUUGGACAAUGGGCGCAAGCCUGAUCCAGCCAUACCGCGUGGGUGAAGAAGGCCUUCGGGUUGUAAAGCCCUUUUGUUGGGAAAGAAAAGCAGCAGGUUAAUACCCCGCUGUUCUGACGGUACCCAAAGAAUAAGCACCGGCUAACUUCGUG
Molecule: ribosomal RNA, 492 nt
Filed under: uncultured bacterium
Lineage: Bacteria
Description: partial 16S ribosomal RNA
Rfam family: Bacterial small subunit ribosomal RNA
Source: RNAcentral